AUAUCAGAACGCAGCCGUAGUACUGAAUGCACCCAUUGUAUCCAUAACAGGUAUACCUACACUGCGUUCAUACGAUCUUCGAGUAGGAUCAGAACGUGAAUAAUUUCUCUCUUUAGUGAGCACGAAUAGCAACUUUUGCAUUUGCGACGAUUAGCGAUAUUACAGAUUUUAUUACAGUUUAUUACAGUUAUACGUAAGACUCGCACGAUAAACACGCACUUAUGAAUAAUUACAUGAAUAAAUCAUUUGUGUCGCGGAAACCGGCACAUAAGUUAUCCCCACGAUACCGAUCUAUAGUUCUGUGUAAAAUAAGGGAGCGUUUAAAGUUGGCACAUAUUGCAACAUAUAAAAGUGUAGAUGGAAAAUCAAAGAAUAGUGCCAAUUUGCAAAGCUGUGAUUCCCAUAAUUCAUUAACUCCAGAAUGUAGUACCUCUGAAUUUCGUUUUGUUAACAGUGUUCCGCACUUUGCUGAUGUAGAGUAUACUUUUUGCAAUGAUUCCAUGUCAAAUGAUAAUUCUCAUAUAGUACAUAACAGAAACAUUAUUAAUGAUGAUUCUUCUUCAUCGUCUUCAAAUACAUCUGAAUGUGGAACAUUGUUUCAUGACAAUUUUGGCCAAUCAUCCUUUCGUGAACAGCUAGCUUCCUGUUUUGUUGACAACAAUUUUACUCAUGUUUAAGGUAAUAGUGUAUUAUCUCUUCUUAGAACACAUUCAUGCUUCUCUAAUUUGCCCAAAGACACUAGAACACUUCUUAAUACACCAUGCAAUAAUAUUGUUGUGUUAAACGUUGAGCCAGGAGAAUACAUUCACUUUGAUUUCCAAAUAGCUUUAAUUGAAUAUCUUUCAUAUAUGUCCAUGGCAGCAAUUCCUUCACAUAUUGAAUUAGAUAUUCACACAGAUGGGUGUACAUUAGAUAGAGCGGGUAGUGUUCAUCUAUGGCCUAUUCAAUGUAGAAUAGCGAAUGUACAACACGCCAAACCAAUAAUUGUUGGUAUAUACAAAGGUUCACAAAAGCCCCAUAAUCCGAAUAGUUUCUUCGAAGCAUUUAUUACAGAUAUUCUAACAGUUGUGAACAAUGGAGGCAUACAGUUCAAUGGCAGUAAUAUUCCAAUACGACUUAGAUGUUUUAUAGCAGAUGCACCAGCUCGAGCUUUUAUUCUAAAUCAUCGUGGUCAUCUGUCUAAUAAACCAUGCUCAAAAUGCAAAGUUAGUGGAACAAUAAGUGAAGGUCGCAAUGUUUUUAAAGGAAUAAAUCAUUCUGUAAGAAGAGAUGAAGAAUAUGUUGCAGUUGUGGACGAAGAUCAUCAUAAAGAAGAAUGCCUUUUUGGCACUGCUCUUUAACGGAUGACACUGAAAGUGACGAUUAUGAGGAAAUCCACAGAGAAACAGGCACAUAUAUUGUUGCAACAAUCAUACAUAGUGAAGUGAUUUAGUGUUUUUCCUAUUAGUUAUCAGGAGUUUAAUAUUUACGCAGAGUGAACUGUUUACAGUGUUUCUGUUAAUAAUUUUCUUUUCAAUGCACGUGAAAAAAAUAUUUUAGAAUACAUCGAUGGCGAUACUUUCCGACCAGUCUUAAAAAAUGAAUGUGGAUUAGGCCUAUAGGGGAAACCACAAAAAAAAACGCGCCAAACUAUGUACCGCAAGGUGGUGAGGAAACCAUAGUCUUUGCAAAAAAACUUCACCAAAUGUUGAACGAAUCUCAUAAUGUUGAGUAUAAAGAAUUGGAUAACGUAAUCUUUAUAAUAUCGCAUCUGUACAACUUGGAGGUAAUUUUUUUAAAUAUUAACGACGUAGACCUAUUCUGUGCGACUUCCCAUAAACUCACCAGUGAAAUAUGUAGUUACGUUAUACCUAAUGCCAAACAAAGCAAUGGCUAGACGUAUAGCUGCCUUAUAAUUAUGCAUCGACUUGCAUCGAGGAAACGAGAUAGAUGAUAAUUUGUUACCUAUGAGAAAGAAGCAUUUGAAAAUGAAGCCUAAAGACGCCGAAGUGCCUACUUUGCCGGAUGAAAGGAGGGCGGAUUUUUCGGACCUGGUACAACAGAAGACAAUAUUAUUUUAAAAAGAUAGCUGGGGCAUUGACGGAUUGUAAGCCAAUAGUCGGAGUGCCGUCUUAUCUAUAUUAAUAGGGAAUUAAGUUCUUCUCUACCAGAGGAGUAAAAUACACACGGCAGAUGUACUUAUCCUUCUGAAGAAUCGGCCGUUGGAUUUGACAUAUUCACAUUGGAAAGUAGCUUCUUUUAUUUUGUAUAUCAUUUAAUGUGUAUAACAAUAAAGAUUUUUAUCACAA
RNAcentral lists this unclassified non-coding RNA (2288 nucleotides) under Harpegnathos saltator (Jerdon's jumping ant). Its description in RNAcentral is "uncharacterized LOC112589247, transcript variant X2". The record is from RNAcentral. Lineage: Eukaryota; Metazoa; Arthropoda; Insecta; Hymenoptera; Formicidae.